AUUGAGGUAGGGUACUGGCAACAGUGCUCUGCUGAAAUAUUUUCACCCAUGUCUUUUGCGCACUUUUUGUUUCCUGGGCGAGUUUGCUCGCCACCAGGACCCCCAUAUGAACCUUUUUUGUUUUUGCACUCAGCGUCAGUACAAUAAUUUAAUCUAUUAAAACUUUCAACAACGGAUCUCUUGGUUCUGGCAUCGAUGAAGAACGCAGCGAAAUGCGAUACGUAGUGUGAAUUGCAGAAUUCAGUGAAUCAUCGAAUCUUUGAACGCACAUUGCGCCCUUUGGUAUUCCAAAGGGCAUGCCUGUUCGAGCGUCAUUUGUACCCUCAAGCUUUGCUUGGUGUUGGGCGUCUUAUUGUCUCUCCGUCUCGGGGAGACUCGCCUUAAAACAAUUGGCAGCCGGCCUACUGGUUUCGGAGCGCAGCACAAAUUUGCGCUUGCAAUCAGCCAAGGGCGGCAUCCAUGAAGCCUUUUUUCUCUCACAUUUUGACCUCGGAUCAGGUAGGGAUACCCGCUGAACUUAAGCAUAUCAAUAGCCGGAGAAAAAAUAGGGUUCCGACCUAG
This 561-nucleotide ribosomal RNA is filed under the name Exserohilum turcicum. RNAcentral's name for it is "eukaryotic LSU rRNA". The stretch from base 161 to 314 matches the Rfam family "5.8S ribosomal RNA". The record is from RNAcentral. Lineage: Eukaryota; Fungi; Ascomycota; Dothideomycetes; Pleosporales; Pleosporaceae.